RNAcentral lists this long non-coding RNA (204 nucleotides) under Mytilus galloprovincialis (Mediterranean mussel). Lineage: Eukaryota; Metazoa; Mollusca; Bivalvia; Mytilida; Mytilidae. The record is from RNAcentral.
CUUUGAAGUCUCAACUACAUUUCCUUUUAGAUAGACUAGAAGGACUUAGGUAUAAUCUGCAAGAAAAUCCUAACUACUUCAUUUUAAUUUGAACAAAUUGAAGGUUUAUCCACUUAUGUCUUUUUCUGUAUUACUUGUGCUGCGGCAUGGAUAUCUGACUAAUUGACAUUUUCGAGGAUGGUAAAGGGGGUUCUUAACACGGAA